GGCCCGUGGCGUCGCCAAAGACACAGUCUGGACCAGCAGUCAGCAGUUGUUUUUGCUUCUGCUUCCUGUCCCGGGUGGCGAGUUGCAUCCAGCCAUGAGAUGUGGCCUGGAAAAACAAACCAAAAAACCAAAACCAAAGGUAUUUCUGAUGCUUGAGUUGAGCGGACGCUGAGAUGUGUCAGCCAGCCCUGAUCUUGGCAAAUACAGUUUCGAAUGGUAUGUCCUUCCCUUUCUAGAGCCACGGCAGUUCAGCGCUAUCAUUCUUCCUCACAGUGAUGGUGUUUAAUUUACUUUUGAAAAUUUAUUUCAGGUCCUGGCUGAAAUGACAUUCGAUGAACAUAUUCACACAAUGAACACAUUUCCUAAAAGGUUCUGAACCUAUGAGUCCUACAAAUUGGUGGUUGGAUUUGGAGGUUCCAUCAGAUUCAAAUUUUAUAUUUUUGCAAGAAAUGCCUUUUAGAUAGUUUUCUCUACCUCAGUGAGGAGACAUAUCGCUGAAAUGUGGUCAUUUCAUCAAUCUCUUCAUCCAUCCAUCUAUCCAUCCAUCCAUUUAUUCAGCUAUUCCUUCACCAAGCACUCAGAAUGACUCCUCACAGUGGAAAGAAAAUCAGCUUUGGACUCACACCUCUAAUAGGAAAAUGCCAUUCUGCCUCUUGCCAGCUGUGUGAUCUUGGAAAAUCUGCUCAACCCCGCUGAGCCUCAGUUCUCUGAAUAAAGAAUGACCAGGCAAUACUCUUUGAAAAUUGGAGACCAUUUGCAGCUGCUCUCUGUUGAGGAAAGUGAAUAAUAGGGUGCCCUCAAGGAAUUUCGAAGGUAUCACUCAACAGAAACUUUUGUGUCUGAAGAAAACUAGAUCAUUUUAUCAUGAGCUUAUAUGUAUUUCUUUAUAUUGAGGUAUAUAAUGAACUGACGAAUAAAAAUCUAGAGAGUCUGGAAGUUUCCCUUGCCCUUGACCAGGAACAAGCUGUGGACGCCUUUAAGAUCUGUGCCGAUGCAGGUACUGUUCCCCAGAGAUAAUCGAAGAGCAAAGGAUAAAAAAAAUAAAGGUUGAAAGAAAACAGGAAAAGUCCUUCACCAUAAAAGCGGUGAAAAAGCCAAAGUCUUCAGAAAACCUCGACUGCCUGUUAACAUGUUUAAAACAACUCUGGUAUAAAAUGAGCAGUGGCACCGACAGGUGACUCGGGCGCAGUUGAAAAUUUGUGAGGAUGGUGAGGACACCGAAAGUCUAUAAUGUGCUUUUUUUUGAAGGACGAAGGUCUUUUAAUUGACAUGUGAAAACCAGUAUAUGUUUGGCUCAGAGAUCUGUUACUAACUAGAUGCCAAAGAGGAAUGAUGACCUGGGACAAAGAACCUAGCCAAUAUGAUUGACAUCGGGCAGAGGAGGGCAUUGGGCGUUCCGAAGCCUUGCGCCCUCUGCUCAUCACACAUCGCACCAGCCGUCAAUGAAAGGAACAAGGGACGCCUAUGGGUCACCAUCUGGAAGACUCUCUGAGUUAAUACCGGGGGAUGGUGCCGUGGCUUUACUGUCUGAUGCGAAGAGAGGCUGUGAAGGGAGAUGGAGUGACAUUCUCCGGAUAAAGCAACAAUGUUUACGUCUUCAUAGUGAACUUUAGCCCCCCAAAAUCCUGUGCAUUGUCCACAUCUCACGGGGCACAAAUCGAGUGUGACAGUAAGACUUUGUCUAUGGAGAAGUGGUUUAGCGUCCUAACUUAGACCUGAAAGAAGGCUGGGAGUUCCCGUGGCGGCACAGCAGAAGUGAAGCCGACUAGUAUCCAUGAGGAUGUUCUCUCCGAGACGACAUGGCUCAUAAUGGACGGUUCAAGCCAAAUUAUCCAUUAUUGUUCUCAAAGUUUACAAUUAAACUAUCGAUCAAAGCUGGCAGUGAUUCCUCCAGCAGCCCAAGCGCAGGGGCCGCCGAAUUGCAUCAGAACCCGAGUGCGUCCAGGCAGAAGCAGAGGAUGCAGACGGACCAGACAGCAGCCUGACAGACACACAUACCCUCCACCCAUCACCCCGGGAUCCAGCAUCUGGUACUUUUCCUGGAGCCAGCACACGGGCCGCAACCCGGGGGUGCGUGGUCUGCGAGUGCGCGGGUGCGGUUUUAAUAGCGAGAGGUCCACGCAAUUUGCGACCCCCAUCCCUGGCUGGAAAAAUUGGAGUUUAACAGGUUCGGCUCCAUAGGGAACCAAGCUCAGCUUUUAGGCUCCUUCAGACACGGCAGAAUGCAUCUUUUCUGGGGAAUUCCACAAUAAAAUGACUGUUAUUUAUCAUUACAAACCUCUUUAUCAUUUAGUCAAUAAAAGCCCUCUCUCUCUCUCACUUUUCUUCCUGUGGCGUGCUCAGAGUCAGAAAUCGGUAUUAGUCUCUCCUGGCCUGGAGGCGGGAGAUGUCAGAGCCUGAAUCAUGGUCCACCCUGGCUUCCUGGCGAAAUUGUGUGUGAAGGCCUGAGGCCAAAAGGUGCACAUGCUCAUUAUUUGAAACACAGAUUUUUGCUCCCUUUCCUUUAGUUUUUCUUUCUUCUCUUUCUCCUUUUUACAUAUUAAGACCAAUUUUAUAUAUAUAUAUAAUAUGUAUAAAACUCAUAAGACAUCGGACAUGAGCGAGGCAGUCAGAGCUUAGGGGGGCGCCUUGCCUUCGUGUAGUUGUUGAUCAAGAAAUUGAAAGUGGAUUGUCAUUUAAACUGAAAAGGACAGUGGAUUGCACCUCUUGAACGUUUAGAUCCCAGGGAAAUACCGGAGAGUGCGCUUUAGAAUGACUGGGUGUCGGUAACAGGUGCCUUCAAAAUGGAGAACAGACUGAAAACGGCGGAAUUCUGGUUAAGCAUUUGGCACUUGUUAUUUUUACUUACGUGGAGGAGAGGCUGAGGUCCUGCUGCAGACAGGUAGAGGGGUCCCUGCCUUUGCAUCGGCAGGCAGGUGUUUCCUUGGGAUCCUCUCACCUCCUCCAGCACGCCAGUGGUGGCCAUGUGGGGUGAGGCGCCAGGGGCCCCCAAAGUCAAUACGAAUCUCAAGGUAAGACCUGCCUUUGGGAGUUCCCGCUGUGGCGCAGUGGCGUAAGAAUCCAACGGCAGCAACUCAGGUUACCGUGGAGGCUCAGGUUCCAUCCCCGGCCCCCAGCGCAGUGUGUUCAAGGAUCUGGCAUUGCUGCAGCUGUGGCACAGGUCACGGCUGUGGCUCAGAUUCCGUCUCUGGUCCUAGAACAUCCAUAUGCACGGAUGAGGCCAUUAAAAGAAAAACUCAGUGCCUUUGGACCUGACACAGACAUGGUAUGGACAUUAAGCCAACUACCCUGGGUGUGGCUGGAAUUUCAAAAAGUACCGAAUGGUGGCCUUAGAUUUCCUCUUCAUUAAACUGCGGAGGGUGUGAGCUCUCCUGAUUUUUCCGUAUGCCAAAUAAAGACAACACUCUGCAGGUGAGUUUGUUCGUACCUUCAACAUCGUAUUUAUUCCACACAUGUUGUGAGCUUCUCCUGUGUGCCCGAUACUAUGCCAGUGAUGGGAAUACAGCCACGAGCAAGUGGGGGCUUAGGGAGCGCCGUAGGAUGAGCCCCGGAAAAACCGAAUGAGCACCACUACCUAUAUCCAUGUUCAAUUAUUUCAUUUAUAAAGGGGCAAUUUACUGAUAAAGAAAGAAAAUGUCACUAUGUUUUUGUUGCUAAAAUCUUGGCAUUUCCCUUGUAUAUUUAAUUCCUGGAGGAAAUAACAUCUAGAAGCAUAGAAACCAAUGUUUCUAGAGCUGAAAAUACCUUAGAAUUAUGUUUGAUACUCCUAUUUUAUAGAGGAAGAAAUUAUGGCUUAAAAAGACAGACAAUGAAGAAACAAAUAUUUUAUGAAGACUCAAUUAGCAGUUUCGGUAUAGGAACUGAAACUUGGAUUCCUGCGUCUGUGACCAGCUUCCUUCCUCUGGAAUCUCCUCAUUCUUAUCUUUUUUGUAUGGUAUUUACUGAAAAGCCAUUCGAGGUUGGCUUGGCAAUGACAGGACAGAAGAAGAAGUAAAUACUUGGACUUAUCAUUUGCUCAUCCAGAUUCUUUCUUUCUUUCUUUCUUUUUUUUUUUUUUUUUUUUUUUUUGGCUUUUUAGAGCUGCACCCAUGGCAUAUGAAAGUUCUCAGUCUAGAGGUUGAAUCAGAGCAACAGCUGCUGGUAUACGCAGCCACAGCAAGGCCAGAUUUGAGCUGCGUCAUGGCAACGCCAGUUCCUAAACCCACUGAAUGAGGCCAGAGAUCAAACCUGCAUCCUCAUGGAUCCUGGUUGGGCUCGUUACCACUGAGCCUUAACGAGAACUUCCUGCUUAUCCAUAUUCUUUAAGAUGAGUAAGAAUUUACACAUGCUUAGCAUAGCUCAGCUGGGGGCUUCAAUUCAGAUAUAUAGAUAUAGAUAGAUAGAUAAUUUAUUGAUAAUUAUCUCUGGUGUAACAUGAACAGAGAUUAAAAGUCUUUCAUUCUGGCCCUCCAGUCUUGUUCGAUUGGCGUAUGCUCCACUCUUGAAUAUAAUCUCCAGGAGAGAGCAAUUGUAUAGAAUUGUAAUCUGCAAAGAGAAGAGCAACUUCCAAAGAAUUCAGGUUCUUCUUCCAGGAAAGAAGCAUUCUUGCAGUAUUCAUGUUCUAAGUCGCCCCAGCUAAUCUUCAAGACUAUAUAUGAACAAGUCUCGGGGGAAGACAGACCAUGUGGUGGGAACCCACAGGUGCCUAGACCAGAACCCACAUUUUCCAUAGACGUCUCUGUGACGUCAAACGCUUUCUGCCCCUUCUCGCCAGACCGUAGAACUGGCCAGAGGAAAUCGGCCACUUGCACUUAUUAAUUUAUUUGUAUCCAAAAUGGCCUGGAAUGUUUUUAAAUGCUCACAAAAAAAGACGGCUUUAGACUGAAGCCUGAUGUUCUUGUCUCGGAGUGAAAUCUUAUGACAGGUUCUAAACCACUUAAAAUGAGAUAGUCUGGGAUAAGGAUGCAAUUGGCAGUCUUAGCAGCAUCUUGCUGCAUCUUGAAGCUACUGAAAUAAAGCAGUAGCAUGAGAGGUGUCAGCUCGUCCAUGCUGAGUGUGAUAUUUAAAUCAAUCUUUACAGAGUGAAGGACUGAGGAAAAGAAAAGAAAAAGUAUGUGUUUUCGUUUCUCUCUUUUUUUCUGGUUAUUCUUUGG
This 5132-nucleotide long non-coding RNA is filed under the name Sus scrofa (pig). Its description in RNAcentral is "lncRNA (ENSSSCG00050024944.1)". Lineage: Eukaryota; Metazoa; Chordata; Mammalia; Artiodactyla; Suidae. The record is from RNAcentral.